UAGGGAAUCUCCACAAUGGGCGAAAGCCUGAUGGAGCAACGCCGCGUGUGUGAUGAAGGGUUUCGGCUCGUAAAACACUGUUGUAAGAGAAGAAUGACAUUGAGAGUAACUGUUCAAUGUGUGACGGUAUCUUACCAGAAAGGAACGGCUAAAUACGUGUCAG
This 163-nucleotide ribosomal RNA is filed under the name uncultured bacterium. Its description in RNAcentral is "partial 16S ribosomal RNA". It matches the Rfam family "Bacterial small subunit ribosomal RNA", at positions 355 to 511 of the family's 1533-position model. The record is from RNAcentral.